GCGAACGCUGGCGGCAGGCCUAACACAUGCAAGUCGAACGAACCUUUCGGGGUUAGUGGCGGACGGGUGAGUACACGUGGGAACGUGCCUUUAGGUUCGGAAUAACUCAGGGAAACUUGUGCUAAUACCGAAUGUGCCCUUCGGGGGAAAGAUUUAUCGCCUUUAGAGCGGCCCGCGUCUGAUUAGCUAGUUGGUUGAGGUAAUGGCUCACCAAGGCGACGAUCAGUAGCUGGUCUGAGAGGAUGAUCAGCCACAUUGGGACUGAGACACGGCCCAAACUCCUACGGGAGGCAGCAGUGGGGAAUCUUGCGCAAUGGGCGAAAGCCUGACGCAGCCAUGCCGCGUGAAUGAUGAAGGUCUUAGGAUUGUAAAAUUCUUUCACCGGGGACGAUAAUGACGGUACCCGGAGAAGAAGCCCCGGCUAACUUCGUG
Molecule: ribosomal RNA, 432 nt
Filed under: uncultured bacterium
Lineage: Bacteria
Description: partial 16S ribosomal RNA
Rfam family: Bacterial small subunit ribosomal RNA
Source: RNAcentral